AAAACAUUGCCUCAUGAAAAUAAAAUAAGAGGUUAUUCCUGCCCAGUGACUUACGAGUUUAACGGCCGCGGUACCCUGACCGUGCUAAGGUAGCGUGAUCAACUGCCCUUUAAUUGUGGGCCUGACGAAUGGAGUUACGAAAAUCUAACUGUCUCUUUUUAAUUAACUAGAAAUUGACCUCUAGGUGAAAAUACCUAGAUAUAUAAAAAAGACAAAAAGACCCCGUAGAGCUUUGUUUAACACAUUAUUGAUUUUUUAUUAUUAUAAAUGCUUAAUUAAAAAUGUAAAAACUUAACUGGGGCGGUUAAGGAAAAGAAAAACUUCCUUUAAUUUUACAGGGGAACCCCCCAUCUUUAAAACUUGACCCUAAUAUUAUAGAUCAAAGAAAUAGCUACCUCGGGGAUAACAGACUAAUUUUUCUUAAGAGUUCGCAUUGACAGAAAAGUUUGGCACAUCGAUGUUGGCUUAGGAGAUCCUAAGGGUUAGUAGCAGCCCUUAAUGGCUGGUUUGUUCAACCAUUAAACUCCUAC
This 530-nucleotide ribosomal RNA is filed under the name Paramytha ossicola. RNAcentral describes it as "partial 16S ribosomal RNA". It matches the Rfam family "Bacterial large subunit ribosomal RNA", at positions 1810 to 2599 of the family's 2925-position model. Lineage: Eukaryota; Metazoa; Annelida; Polychaeta; Terebellida; Ampharetidae. The record is from RNAcentral.